UACGGAGGGGGCUAGCGUUGUUCGGAAUUACUGGGCGUAAAGCGCACGUAGGCGGCUUUGUAAGUUAGAGGUGAAAGCCCGGGGCUCAACUCCGGAAUUGCCUUUAAGACUGCAUCGCUAGAAUUGUGGAGAGGUAAGUGGAAUUCCGAGUGUAGAGGUGAAAUUCGUAGAUAUCGGGAGGAACACCUGUGGCGAAAGCGGCGCACUGGACCACAACUGACGCUGAGGCGCGAAAGCUAGGGGAGCAAACAGG
RNAcentral lists this ribosomal RNA (253 nucleotides) under uncultured prokaryote. Its description in RNAcentral is "partial 16S ribosomal RNA". It matches the Rfam family "Bacterial small subunit ribosomal RNA", at positions 524 to 776 of the family's 1533-position model. The record is from RNAcentral.